This 475-nucleotide small RNA is filed under the name Histoplasma capsulatum. RNAcentral describes it as "hypothetical RNA". The record is from RNAcentral. Lineage: Eukaryota; Fungi; Ascomycota; Eurotiomycetes; Onygenales; Ajellomycetaceae. RNAcentral also lists the same sequence under 1 other name.
AGUCAACUUGUUUGAUUUUAUAUAUCAGUGUGGAUUCCUGCCGCUUAAGUCUAACAGCAAUGGGAACCAUUACGAAUCCAAUCGCGCAAAAAGGGAAAUUGAUGUAGAACGUCCACCGCCAUGUUGAGUGUUCAGCAAAUAUGCCGCCGAAAAGUGGUCCAAGUAUGGUUCCAAUAGCCCAUGCAAUCUGAAUAAUUGCGGUGAACUUAGGGCGUUGCCUGAGAGGGACAAUGUCGUUUUGAGCCAAACAUGCGAUUAAUGAACCGGCAGUAAAAAGGGAAACGCUGGCUAGCAUCACUUCUCGUCGUCCAAAUAUAUCGGAUACGGCGGCGAUGAAAGGUUGAAAUAUGGCGUACGUCAAGAGAAAUGAGGUUCCUGCCCAGAAUGCUUCAACAGCGGUGCCGUUUAGAUCGCUAGCUAUCGUCUAUCAUACAAGGAGUAAGGCUAUUGUCCCGAAUGAAUAAAGUAGAUGAUG